UCGGGAAUUUUGGGCAAUGGGCGAAAGCCUGACCCAGCAACGCCGCGUGAGGGAUGAAGUAUUUCGGUAUGUAAACCUCGAAAGAAUGGGAAGAAUAAAUGACGGUACCAUUUAUAAGCUCCGGCUAACUACGUGCCAGCAGCCGCGGUAAUACGUAGGGAGCAAGCGUCGUUCGGAUUUACUGGGCGUAAAGGGCGCGUAGGCGGCGCGGUAAGUCACUUGUGAAAUCUCUGAGCUUAACUCAGAACGGCCAAGUGAUACUGCUGGGCUAGAGUGCGAAAGAGGCAACCGGAAUUCUUGGUGUAGCGGUGAAAUGCGUAGAUAUCAAGAGGAACACCUGAGGCGAAGGCGGGUUGCUGGGCCGACACUGACGCUGAUGCGCGAAAGCCAGGGGAGCAAACG
This 402-nucleotide ribosomal RNA is filed under the name uncultured bacterium. RNAcentral's name for it is "bacterial SSU rRNA". It matches the Rfam family "Bacterial small subunit ribosomal RNA", at positions 355 to 774 of the family's 1533-position model. The record is from RNAcentral.